CCUUGUCGGGUAAGUUCCGACCUGCACGAAUGGCGUAAUGAUGGCCAGGCUGUCUCCACCCGAGACUCAGUGAAAUUGAACUCGCUGUGAAGAUGCAGUGUACCCGCGGCAAGACGGAAAGACCCCGUGAACCUUUACUAUAGCUUGACACUGAACAUUGAGCCUUGAUGUGUAGGAUAGGUGGGAGGCUUUGAAGCGUGGACGCCAGUCUGCGUGGAGCCGACCUUGAAAUACCACCCUUUAAUGUUUGAUGUUCUAACGUGGACCCGUUACCCGGGUUGCGGACAGUGUCUGGUGGGUAGUUUGACUGGGGCGGUCUCCUCCUAAAGAGUAACGGAGGAGCACGAAGGUUGGCUAAUCCUGGUCGGACAUCAGGAGGUUAGUGCAAUGGCAUAAGCCAGCUUGACUGCGAGCGUGACGGCGCGAGCAGGUGCGAAAGCAGGUCAUAGUGAUCCGGUGGUUCUGAAUGGAAGGGCCAUCGCUCAACGGAUAAAAGGUACUCCGGGGAUAACAGGCUGAUACCGCCCAAGAGUUCAUAUCGACGGCGGUGUUUGGCACCUCGAUGUCGGCUCAUCACAUCCUGGGGCUGAAGUAGGUCCCAAGGGUAUGGCUGUUCGCCAUUUAAAGUGGUACGCGAGCUGGGUUUAGAACGUCGUGAGACAGUUCGGUCCCUAUCUGCCGUGGGCGCUGGAGAACUGAGGGGGGCUGCUCCUAGUACGAGAGGACCGGAGUGGACGCAUCACUGGUGUUCGGGUUGUCAUGCCAAUGGCACUGCCCGGUAGCUAAAUGCGGAAGAGAUAAGUGCUGAAAGCAUCUAAGCACGAAACUUGCCCCGA
Molecule: ribosomal RNA, 836 nt
Filed under: Salmonella enterica
Lineage: Bacteria; Pseudomonadati; Pseudomonadota; Gammaproteobacteria; Enterobacterales; Enterobacteriaceae
Also listed under: 1 other name
Description: partial 23S ribosomal RNA
Rfam family: Bacterial large subunit ribosomal RNA
Source: RNAcentral